RNAcentral lists this ribosomal RNA (253 nucleotides) under uncultured bacterium. RNAcentral describes it as "partial 16S ribosomal RNA". It matches the Rfam family "Bacterial small subunit ribosomal RNA", at positions 524 to 776 of the family's 1533-position model. The record is from RNAcentral.
AACGUAGGUACCGAGCGUUAUCCGGAUUUACUGGGCGUAAAGCGCGUUCAGGCGGUUUGGCAAGUCGGGCAUGAAAUCUCUGGGCUCAACCGGGAGAGGUUGUCCGAUACUGCUGGACUUGAGGGCAGUAGAGGGUGGUGGAAUUCCGGGUGUAGUGGUGAAAUGCGUAGAUAUCCGGAGGAACACCAGUGGCGAAAGCGGCCACCUGGACUGUACCUGACGCUAACACGCGAAAGCUAGGGGAGCGAACGGG